Molecule: ribosomal RNA, 301 nt
Filed under: uncultured bacterium
Lineage: Bacteria
Description: partial 16S ribosomal RNA
Rfam family: Bacterial small subunit ribosomal RNA
Source: RNAcentral
CAGCAGCCGCGGGAAUACGUAGGUGGCAAGCGUUGUCCGGAAUUAUUGGGCGUAAAGGGCUCGCAGGCGGUUUCUUAAGUCUGAUGUGAAAGCCCCCGGCUCAACCGGGGAGGGUCAUUGGAAACUGGGAAACUCGAGUGCAGAAGAGGAGAGUGGAAUUCCACGUGUAGCGGUGAAAUGCGUAGAGAUGUGGAGGAACACCAGUGGCGAAGGCGACUCUCUGGUCUGUAACUGACGCUGAGGAGCGAAAGCGUGGGGAGCGAACAGGAUUAGAUACCCCGGUAGUCCCUGUCUCUUAUAC